RNAcentral lists this ribosomal RNA (384 nucleotides) under Triticum aestivum (bread wheat). Its description in RNAcentral is "partial small subunit ribosomal RNA". Lineage: Eukaryota; Viridiplantae; Streptophyta; Magnoliopsida; Poales; Poaceae. The record is from RNAcentral.
AUGGAGGUGAUAGGAGAAGCCAAAGAGGGUAGCGGCGGAGAAUCCGCGGAGUGCUACCGUAAGGAGGCCAAAUCCUCCUCUGGGAUCGAAGGACAACAAUCUGGGAUCGAAGACGGUUCAGCCACGCCGGAGCAGAUCUCGGAGAACGAAGACGACAACUCAACGGAUGGGGAGCUGUUCCUGCCCGAGUACUUAACGGAUGAGGAGAUCAUGCAAGAGUACCGUAUAGGCUGGGAAUGCAGGUGCUAUGGCAAGUUCGGUAACUUCGAAGAUGAGACGACGAUCAAGAACAUGCUGACCACAUACAAAACCAUCCCACAUGCUUUGGUCUCCCGCAACUUGCAAGUCUACUCCAUCGAAGUCGAGAAGCCGAAACUCGGGUGA